RNAcentral lists this transfer RNA (66 nucleotides) under Marenzelleria neglecta. Its description in RNAcentral is "tRNA-Asp". The record is from RNAcentral. Lineage: Eukaryota; Metazoa; Annelida; Polychaeta; Spionida; Spionidae.
AAAAGAUUAGUUAAUUUAUAACUUAAGCUUGUCAAGCUUAGAUUACUAUUUUUAUAGUAUCUUUUG